Molecule: long non-coding RNA, 3197 nt
Organism: Carya illinoinensis
Lineage: Eukaryota; Viridiplantae; Streptophyta; Magnoliopsida; Fagales; Juglandaceae
Exons: 3
Source: RefSeq, a predicted model, not a curated record
AUCACCCUCAACUUCCUAACACAGAUUCGUUUUCCUUCCCUUUAUCAUUCAAAGGUUUAUCCCCCCCAUCUAUUAUCGAAUAUAGAAUCCUACGAGAAACAGCUUGAAGGAAUACAACCACAGUUUCAGCCAUGAUAGAAAUCCAACCAAACCUCAAGCUUCUUACGCCGUCCUUUGGAUUCUACUGGGAAGCGCUGCAACAUCAAGAAGAGUCUGCCAGAAGAUGAGAGUUGGAGAUGUCAGAAGAUCGAACAAAACUUAGCUUACAGAAAACACAGCAGGAUGCCAAUGAUUUUGAAAGUAGGGGAAUCGUUCCAAACAACAUAAUCAACACAAAGGUAUUAUGUCACAAUUUCUAACACAUUGUAGAAUAAGCCCAAGGAAAUUAAUAUCUUAUAUAAAUUCUGCCUCUUCACACCACAAACCCAUGCUUACCACCACAGCGAUCAAAAUUUCAGCCACACCUUCACCCAACAGUCAGACAACUACAGGGUGCACAUUUCAGAAUGAUGUCUACAACAGUGGCCAAUGGAAUUGAGAGAGAGAGAGAGAGAGAGAGAGAGAGAGAGAGAGAUUUAUUAAGCAUCCACAAAUAAAGAGCCUUUGCAGAAAAUACCCUACUUUGAAGAAGGGCAAGGAGUAAGGCAGCUAUGGGAUGGCUGAUCAGAGUGACCCACCAAAAGAAAACUGCUCAUUAAUCCUUGAGCACCAAAGCAGGUGGGCUUUGAAGUAUUCGGCUGUUUUCCAAGGACCAUUGGAUAUGGGAUUUUGGAUACGAAUAACACCCUCAUGCCCACCCAUUUAAUAAAACAUAUCUUUCUAAUUUAUAAUAUAUAAACGUCAUCUUCAAAAUUUUGUCUUUCAUGUUUUUAAGUAAAAAUUUUAUGGAUAACCAACAAGGUAAAACCCCAGUACAUAGGAUGUACACAAGAGGAGACACCUAGUUACCAAGAAGGGGAUUUUUGUUUUUGAUUGACACCAGGUGUCUGAGAACAAAGUUGUGACUAAUCCAAGGGUGCACAGUCCCUCCUAAUUCAAGGGAAAGUCCCCCUAGUCCGAUGACCCCUAGAAAUUAUUUACACCCAAGAGGAUUUGAAUCUUAAACCUAAAGGGAGCAUACCACCAAGACCAAGGCCUUUACAACUUGAGCCAACCCCUACGGGUUAGGAAGAAGGGGAAUGAAUAAACUACAAAAAUAAUAGUAUUUUCCUCAGGGUCCUUUCCUUUAAUUAGUCUUCAGACAUUAGGGUCUUUUCCUCCUUCAGAUCCGACUGCCUCCCCCUUCAUACCAGAGAGUUCAGCCUCCAGCCUCUAUCUCAGGCUAUUAGUUUAUUCUCCUCCUCACCGGCACCAAGAUCAGAUUAAUGAAACUUUUGAAAAAAUUUUAAAGAAUGGUUUUUAUGGGGUUUUAUGAAAGUGGUGGAACCCGUUAAAAAAGUGUUUGGAUUGAGAAAGCUUUUUAAAGAUGUUUUUAGUUGGGUAUGAAAACAUGGUGAGCUCCAUUGAAAAUGUGUUUGAGGAGCUAAGAACCAAGAAGAAUUUCUCACAAACCUCAUUUUGCCAAACAUCACAAAGAUUCAACUUGUUACAAAGUUUUCCAUUUCCCUCGGCCCACAAAAGAAAGAUCAAACUUUCUUUUUUACCACUUAUAACCCAUAGGCAGCUAACUACUAAACUUACUUUCCAAUGAUACACCGACCUAGAAUAUUGCAAUGUAAAUAUUGAGCCAAAAUUUUCCUAUUUACUUGAGUUGCGACUAUUGCACUUUUCAAUAAAGGAUGAAUUAUUAUUUUAAAAAAUCAAGUUAAGCUUUCACAUGUUUGUGGUCAUAAAUUAGAUAAUAGGGCAAUGGUAGAUAGGGUUUGAAGUUCCAAUUUCAAUCAUUUGUCAAGUUGAAAUUUAAAAACAAAGACUAAAGCUAGGAAACCCAAUUUUAGAUAUGAGCUAAGAUUAAUGAAUUAAGGAACUAUGAUUGACAUUGAGAGUGUGAAUAUCUCCAAUAAUACAAAACGCUUAUAGAAGUCUCACUUUUUUCUUUUAAGAGGGGCACAAAUUCAAGCCCUAAUGUGUAUGAAUGCAUACAAUUUCGCAUGUGUUAGUGUAUGUGUGAGGCAUUUGGAUUGCUCUGAAAUCAAGUUGACCACUAACUUUGGGUGAGAGUACGUGAGUCACUGACUCAUACAUGAUGCAACCACAUUACCAACCGAUUGUAGACAACUUGGACACUGAUUAACUUGCAAUCAGAAAAGUUGUUUGCCAAACAAGGUAAUCUACAUAAAAGUAUUACAACACCAAAUUUCCUACCACACAUUGCAGGAUACAACCAAGGAAACCUUUUUGAUAGGUGGAAAAGCCCAAGGAAACUGAUACCUAAUGCCUCCAUUUCCCUCAACCCACAAAAGAAAGAUUGAGUUUUCUAUUCUAUUGAUUUUAACUAAAUGCUGAUUCACUUACAAAUGGAAAACUGAACUAGAAGAUAGUAAAUAAAAACUGAGACAUUUUUCACAUGAUUGGGGUCAUAAAUUACACUGCAGUGCUCAAGUGGACUGCUUUUGAAGUCCAAAAUCCAAUCACUUGACAAUUUGAAAUUAAAAACUCAUAGAAUAGAGAUUGCAGAUAUGAGUUCAUAACAAAUAAAGGAGCCAGAACUGACAUUGCAAGUGAAUGCCACUGGCAAUAUAGAAAACUGUUUUAAGUCUCACUUUUACUUAUAUGUUUUUGAACUAAUUGGCAUUCCACAGUGGGUGAUGGGUAUGAACACAAGCCCUAAUACGUAGGGGUGCAUACAAUUUCCCAUAUGUAUUAUGUAUGAAGUAACCAUAGAAGAUCAAGCUGACCAACAACUUCAAGCGAGAGAAAGGGGAUUCUGGUUUGUGCCUUCAUAUAUAUGCUGAGUCACAGAUUCAUACACGAUGCAACUGCGAUAAAUUCGUCUUGAUCCAAAAGCAAAUGCAGCAGAUAAGCAAAAGCAAGAAAAUUACCUUCCACCAUAGACAAGAAAUCCAAGGGCAGCAAACAAAGAGACACCUGCCAAGAUAUAUGGGUCAGGAUCGAUGAUUCGGUAUCAGGAUAAACAGCAUAGUUUCUCUAAAAAAAGGUGUAUCUAGCAUAGAUAAACCUGCAAAGAACAUUUUAGAUAGGAUGACCACCAUUCGUACAGGCUUCCACCAUAGUAUCAACCACAAAGCAAUCUGGAA